CAAUAACAGGUCUGUGAUGCCCUUAGAUGUUCAGGGCCGUACGCGCGCUACACUGAUGCGAUCAACGAGCCUAGCCUUGGCCGAGAGGUCCGGGUAAUCUUGCGAACCGCAUCGUGAUGGGGAUAGAUUAUUGCAAUUAUUAAUCUUCAACGAGGAAUGCCUAGUAAGCGCGAGUCAUCAACUCGCGUUGAUUACGUCCCUGCCCUUUGUACACACCGCCCGUCGCUCCUACCGAUUGGGUGCGCUGGUGAAGCGUUCGGAUUGGUGGCUCCAAGCGGUUCGCCGCCGGGGGCAACCGAGAAGUUUGUUAAACCCUCCCACCUAGAGGAAGGAGAAGUCGUAACAAGGUUUCCGUAGGUGAACCUGCGGAAGGAUC
Molecule: ribosomal RNA, 376 nt
Filed under: Elliptochloris marina
Lineage: Eukaryota; Viridiplantae; Chlorophyta; Trebouxiophyceae
Description: SSU rRNA
Rfam family: Eukaryotic small subunit ribosomal RNA
Source: RNAcentral